GGGGCUGUAGCGCAGUUGGGAGCGUAUCUCAAUGGCAUUGAGAGGGUCACGGGUUCGAACCCCGUCAGCUCCACCA
RNAcentral lists this transfer RNA (76 nucleotides) under Candidatus Omnitrophota bacterium. RNAcentral describes it as "Candidatus Omnitrophica bacterium tRNA-Ala". It matches the Rfam family "tRNA". From Rfam's summary of the family: Transfer RNA (tRNA) molecules are approximately 80 nucleotides in length. Their secondary structure includes four short double-helical elements and three loops (D, anti-codon, and T loops). Further hydrogen bonds mediate the characteristic L-shaped molecular structure. tRNAs have two regions of fundamental functional importance: the anti-codon, which is responsible for specific mRNA codon recognition, and the 3' end, to which the tRNAs corresponding amino acid is attached (by aminoacyl-tRNA synthetases). tRNAs cope with the degeneracy of the genetic code in two manners: having more than one tRNA (with a specific anti-codon) for a particular amino acid; and 'wobble' base-pairing, i.e. permitting non-standard base-pairing at the 3rd anti-codon position. The record is from RNAcentral. Lineage: Bacteria; Pseudomonadati; Candidatus Omnitrophota.